This is a non-coding RNA of Mycena crocata, 92 nucleotides long. Lineage: Eukaryota; Fungi; Basidiomycota; Agaricomycetes; Agaricales; Mycenaceae. The record is from the annotation of a GenBank genome assembly.
GCACCGGUGGUGUAGCGGUAAUACAUACUCUGAAACUGAAAAGUACUAAAUGAUAGACAAGUGGGUCCAGGGUUCAAAUCCCUGUCGGUCCC